AGGUAGUGACGAAAAAUAACGAUACGGGACUCAUCCGAGGCCCCGUAAUCGGAAUGAGUACACUUUAAAUCCUUUAACGAGGAUCGAUUGGAGGGCAAGUCUGGUGCCAGCAGCCGCGGUAAUUCCAGCUCCAAUAGCGUAUAUUAAAGUUGUUGCGGUUAAAAAGCUCGUAGUUGAAUCUGUGUGCCGCGCUGUCGGUUCACCGCUCGCGGUGUUUAACUGACUGGACUGCGGUACGUCCUACCGGUGGACUUAGCGCGCGAGCGCGUCCUUAACGGGUCGCGUUUCGUUGUCGCGGGUCCAGUAUGAAUCCCAUCGCGGUGCUCUUUGUUGAGUGUCGAGGUGGGCCGGUACUUUUACUUUGAACAAAUUAGAGUGCUCAAAGCAGGCCACUUUCGCCUGAAUACUGCGUGCAUGGAAUAAUGGAAUAGGACCUCGGUUCUAUUUUGUUGGUUUUAGGAACUCCGAGGUAAUGAUUAAUAGGGACAGAUGGGGGCAUUCGUAUUGCGACGUUAGAGGUGAAAUUCUUGGAUCGUCGCAAGACGAACGGAAGCGAAAGCAUUUGCCAAAAAUGUUUUCAUUAAUCAAGAACGAAAGUUAGAGGUUCGAAGGCGAUCAGAUACCGCCCUAGUUCUAACCAUAAACGAUGCCAGCUAGCGAUCCGCCGAAGUUCCUCCGAUGACUCGGCGGGCAGCU
RNAcentral lists this ribosomal RNA (696 nucleotides) under Oethecoctonus sp. M373. RNAcentral describes it as "bacterial SSU rRNA". It matches the Rfam family "Eukaryotic small subunit ribosomal RNA", at positions 462 to 1088 of the family's 1831-position model. The record is from RNAcentral. Lineage: Eukaryota; Metazoa; Arthropoda; Insecta; Hymenoptera; Scelionidae.